Molecule: ribosomal RNA, 554 nt
Filed under: uncultured bacterium
Lineage: Bacteria
Description: partial 16S ribosomal RNA
Rfam family: Bacterial small subunit ribosomal RNA
Source: RNAcentral
UAGGGAAUCUUCGGCAAUGGACGAAAGUCUGACCGAGCAACGCCGCGUGAGUGAAGAAGGUUUUCGGAUCGUAAAACUCUGUUGGUAGAGAAGAACGUUGGUGAGAGUGGAAAGCUCAUCAGGUGACGGUAACUACCCAGAAAGGGACGGCUAACUACGUGCCAGCAGCCGCGGUAAUACGUAGGUCCCGAGCGUUGUCCGGAUUUAUUGGGCGUAAAGCGAGCGCAGGUGGUUUAUUAAGUCUGGUGUAAAAGGCAGUGGCUCAACCAUUGUAUGCAUUGGAAACUGGUAGACUUGAGUGCAGGAGAGGAGAGUGGAAUUCCAUGUGUAGCGGUGAAAUGCGUAGAUAUAUGGAGGAACACCGGUGGCGAAAGCGGCUCUCUGGCCUGUAACUGACACUGAGGCUCGAAAGCGUGGGGAGCAAACAGGAUUAGAUACCCUGGUAGUCCACGCCGUAAACGAUGAGUGCUAGAUGUAGGGAGCUAUAAGUUCUCUGUAUCGCAGCUAACGCAAUAAGCACUCCGCCUGGGGGAGUACGACCGCAAGGUUGAAAC